RNAcentral lists this ribosomal RNA (303 nucleotides) under uncultured bacterium. RNAcentral describes it as "partial 16S ribosomal RNA". It matches the Rfam family "Bacterial small subunit ribosomal RNA", at positions 507 to 807 of the family's 1533-position model. The record is from RNAcentral.
AGCAGUAGCCGCGGGAAUACGGAGGGAGCUAGCGUUGUUCGGAAUUACUGGGCGUAAAGCGCGCGUAGGCGGUUACUCAAGUCAGAGGUGAAAGCCCGGGGCUCAACCCCGGAACUGCCUUUGAAACUAGGUGACUAGAAUCUUGGAGAGGUCAGUGGAAUUCCGAGUGUAGAGGUGAAAUUCGUAGAUAUUCGGAAGAACACCAGUGGCGAAGGCGACUGACUGGACAAGUAUUGACGCUGAGGUGCGAAAGCGUGGGGAGCAAACAGGAUUAGAUACCCCUGUAGUCCCUGUCUCUUAUAC